GACGAACGCUGGCAGCGUGCUUAACACAUGCAAGUCGAACGGAAAGGCCCUGCUUUUGUGGGGUGCUCGAGUGGCGAACGGGUGAGUAACACGUGAGUAACCUGCCCUUGACUUUGGGAUAACUUCAGGAAACUGGGGCUAAUACCGGAUAGGAGCUCCUGCUGCAUGGUGGGGGUUGGAAAGUUUCGGCGGUUGGGGAUGGACUCGCGGCUUAUCAGCUUGUUGGUGGGGUAGUGGCUUACCAAGGCUUUGACGGGUAGCCGGCCUGAGAGGGUGACCGGCCACAUUGGGACUGAGAUACGGCCCAGACUCCUACGGGAGGCAGCAGUGGGGAAUAUUGCACAAUGGGCGGAAGCCUGAUGCAGCAACGCCGCGUACGGGAUGACGGCCUUCGGGUUGUAAACCGCUUUCGCCUGUGACGAAGCGUGAGUGACGGUAAUGGGUAAAGAAGCACCGGCUAACUACGUG
This 468-nucleotide ribosomal RNA is filed under the name uncultured bacterium. RNAcentral describes it as "partial 16S ribosomal RNA". It matches the Rfam family "Bacterial small subunit ribosomal RNA", at positions 28 to 507 of the family's 1533-position model. The record is from RNAcentral.